UUGGAUUUGUGUAAUGGGAAUCGGAUCGUGAUGAGAUCACGAUAAUGAGAUCGAUUCACCUUUAAACACAUAUCCUAAAUAAUCCCGGUCAUAAGUUACUCGAGAGGGACAUCGUGAUAACCGGACAGACUGGUGUGCUGUAUACCCGUCCAUAUGAUGGAUGCAGCUGGUCUCAUAGCUGCUCGUAUAGGGACACUAGGGAUACAGUACAGGUGCUCAUUGGAGAAUGAGUUCACUGAUUGAUCCGCUUACGGAAUGCUGGAUGGUUGAUAAUGCCUUAUUGUCAGACAGCGAUUCCGUAGUCCUAGUGGUG
RNAcentral lists this long non-coding RNA (313 nucleotides) under Musa acuminata (dwarf banana). RNAcentral describes it as "long non-coding RNA (MACU_LNC000445)". The record is from RNAcentral. Lineage: Eukaryota; Viridiplantae; Streptophyta; Magnoliopsida; Zingiberales; Musaceae.